This is an RNA transcript of Equus caballus (horse), 6418 nucleotides long. It is a transcript of the gene named xanthine dehydrogenase/oxidase, with no coding region annotated. NCBI's taxonomy places the organism in Eukaryota, Metazoa, Chordata, Mammalia, Perissodactyla, Equidae. The record is from RefSeq and is a predicted model, not a curated record.
UGCCUUUUCCUUGAUUAUGUAAACCAGGGACUUUUGCCAGGAACAUUCCAUUCCCUGAAAAAAUAAGCUACUUCCCCCUAUCGACUGACUUAGUUUCAUUUUGCUUGAGCUUUUCAAGCGGCAGAGCAGUAGUAACUGCCUGUGCCUCUUGGCAGUGAGGCACCUAGAGUUCAGGACCCCAAACGGUGACAAUGACAGCAGACGAGUUGGUUUUCUUUGUCAAUGGCAAAAAGGUAGUGGAGAAAAAUGCAGAUCCAGAAACAACCCUUUUGGCCUACCUGAGAAGAAAGUAAAGAAGAGGAAUUGAGGCCUGCAUGGGUUAAAGGACCUGCCUCUCCAUCGUGUCUUCUGGGAAAAUGCUGGCGGAGCCUGGACUAAAGCCUAGAGCCACAAUCUUAACCCCCCACACAUACUGGAAACUCUCCAGUGGUCUGUUGUCAGGCGAUGCUCAUCCUGACCUCUGUCAACAAACCACUUAUGCUCCUAGAGGCAGGGAUGUCUGGUAGCUUAUUCCAAGCACAUAUCUUAGGACAACAAAGGAAGCGAGCCAGAAAUCAUGGCCUUACCUCCUAGUCACUCACCUCUUAUCAGAUGGUGGCUGGCACUGCUGUACUAAGUCCUGGAGUUUCGACCUGGAGGGAGCAGGUCUGGAGGAAUCUGGUGGCUUUUUCUAGAGGUGAAAUCACUCUGUAGGAUCAGGGGACAGCAUUGGAACUGCAUUUCCAGCCCAUCUACUUGAGAAGUCUGGGGAAAAAAAGGCUCAUUCUCAGAGAUUGCUGACAUCAAUUUUAGUUUUCCAACAUGUUUUGAAGGCCCCAAAGCCUCAGAUGUCCCUUAUCAGAGCAAUUGGCUGGCUUAAGGGUCACCUCUCAAAUGAAAUCUCAAACUGAAAAUCGGCCCAUAAAUGUGAGUCCUUGUGGCUUGUUGCUGCCUGUGCUGAGAGUCACUCCUGGGAGUUCCGGGCAAGAGAGGAGAGUGCAGCCCUGACUUCUGCCUUGGCUUCCAGGAAGAUCCUCAGGCUAGAAGAAGACUUUGCUAGACUUUGGGCUGCAGUCAUUGGUCUUCACGUGCCCCUAGACUUGUCUGACUGCUGAUAAGUGCAUAUAGCCUGACUGGUGACGAGAAUAACUGAAGACACAGCAAGCCCGCCCCAGAUGUGUUCUGAAAGAGGCAGCAGCACGGUGAAGGAGGAGCCCCCACUCUGGAGUCAGAUGACUGUGUGUGGGUCCUAACACCUGAGGAGAGAAUUGCCAAAAGCCAUGGGUCCCAGUGUGGGUUCUGCACCCCUGGCAUCGUCAUGAGCAUGUACACACUGCUCCGGAACCAGCCCGAGCCCACCAUGGAGGAGAUCGAGGAUGCCUUGCAAGGGAACCUGUGCCGCUGCACAGGCUACAGACCCAUCCUCCAGGGCUUCCGGACCUUCGCCAGGGAUGGUGGAUGCUGUGGAGGAAAGGGGAACGACCCAAACUGCUGCAUGAACCAGAAGAAAGACCACACAGUCACCCUCUCGCCAUCUUUAUUCAACCCAGAGGAGUUCAUGCCCCUGGAUCCCACCCAGGAGCCCAUCUUCCCCCCAGAGUUGCUGAGACUGAAAGACGCUCCUCAGAAGCAGCUGCAUUUUGAAGGGGAGCGUGUGACCUGGAUCCAGGCCUCAACCCUGAAGGAGCUGCUGGACCUCAAAGCACAGCAUCCCGAGGCCACGCUGGUGGUGGGGAACAUGGAGAUCGGCAUCGAGAUGAAGUUUAAGAACAAGCUGUUUCCUCUGAUCGUGUGCCCAGCCUGGAUCCCCGAGCUGAACUCAGUGGAGCACGGAGAGGAGGGUAUCUCCUUUGGAGCCUCCUGCCCCCUGAGCUGUGUGGAAAAGACCCUGCUGGAUGCAGUUGCCCAGCUUCCUACCCACAAAACAGAGGUGUUCAGAGGUGUCCUGGAGCAGCUGCGCUGGUUUUCUGGGAAGCAGCUCAAGUCUGUGGCGUCCAUUGGAGGGAACGUCAUCACCGCCAGCCCCAUCUCCGACCUCAAUCCUGUGUUCAUGGCCAGCGGGGCCAAGCUGACCAUGGUGUCUAGAGGCACCAGGAGAACCAUUCGCAUGGAUCACACCUUCUUCCCUGGCUACAGAAAGACUCUGCUGGGUCCGGAGGAGAUUCUGCUUGCUAUCGAGAUCCCCUACAGCAGGGAGGGUGAGUUUUUCUCAUCAUUCAAGCAGUCCUCUGGGAGAGAAGAUUAUGUAGCCAAGGUGACCAGUGGCAUGAGGGUCCUGUUCAAGCCAGGGACCACCCAGAUAGAAGAGCUGGUCCUUUGCUAUGGUGGAAUGGCCGACAGAACCAUCUCAGCCCUCAAGACGACUCGGAAGCAGCUGUCAAAGUUCUGGAAUGAGGAGCUGCUGCAGGACGUGUGUGCAGGCCUGGCGGAGGAGCUGCAACUGGCCCCUGACGCCCCUGGUGGCAUGAUAGAGUUCCGGCGCACCCUCACCCUCAGCUUCUUCUUCAAGUUCUACCUGACGGUGCUUCAGAAGCUGGGCAAAGUGGACUCGGAAGAUAAGUGUGGUAAACUGGAUCCCACCUUUGCCAGUGCCACCUUACUCUUUCAGAAAGACCCUCCCACCAACGUCCAACUCUUCCAAGAGGUGCCCAAGGGUCAGUCUGAGGAGGACAUGGUGGGCCGGCCCCUGCCCCACCUGGGCGCAUCCAUGCAGGCCUGUGGAGAGGCCAUGUACUGUGACGACAUCCCUCGCUAUCAGAAUGAGCUGUCCCUCCGACUGGUCACCAGCACCCGGGCCCACGCCAAGAUCAAGUCCAUCGAUACUUCAGAAGCUCAGAAGGUGCCAGGGUUUGUUUGUUUUCUCUCUGCUGAUGAUGUUUCGGGAAGUAACAAAACUGGAUUUUUUAAUGAUGAAACAGUCUUUGCGAAUGAUGAGGUGACUUGUGUUGGGCACAUCAUUGGUGCUGUGGUCACUGACACCCCAGAACAUGCACAGAGAGCUGCUCAAGCAGUGAAAAUCACCUAUGAAGACCUUCCAGCCAUUAUCACAAUCGAGGAUGCCAUAAAACACAACUCCUUUUAUGGAUCUGAGCUCAAGAUUGAGAAAGGAGACCUCCAGAAGGGCUUUGCAGAAGCAGAUAACAUUGUUUCAGGUGAGUUUUACAUUGGCGGCCAAGAGCACUUCUACCUGGAGACUCACUGUGCCAUCGCUGUCCCGAAAGGGGAGGCAGGGGAGAUGGAGCUCUUUGUGUCUACACAGAACACCACGAAGACCCAAGCCUUUGUUGCAAAAGUGUUGGGGGUUCCAGCAAAUCGAAUUUUGAUCCGAGUGAAGCGACUUGGAGGAGGAUUUGGAGGGAAGGAGAUCCGAAGCACCCUGGUGUCCACGGCAGUUGCCGUGGGUGCAUACAAGACUGGCUGCCCUGUGCGCUGCAUGCUGGAUCGUGACGAGGACAUGCUGAUAACCGGCGGCAGACAUCCUUUCUUGGCCAGAUACAAGGUUGGCUUCAUGAAGACUGGGAGGAUUGUGGCUCUGGAGGUGGAUCACUACAGCAAUGCUGGGAACACCCUUGAUCUCUCUGAGGCUAUAAUGCAACAAACUCUAUUACACAUGGACAACGGCUACAAAAUCCCCAACAUCCGGGGCACUGGGUGGCUGUGCAAGACCAACCUGCCCUCCAACACGGCCUUCCGGGGAUUUGGGCGGCCCCAGGGGAUGCUCAUUGCUGAGCAUUGGAUGAGCGAAAUUGCGGUGACCUGUGGGCUGCCUGCAGAGGAAGUGCGGAGGAAGAACAUGUACAAGGAAGGGGACCUGACACACUUCAACCAGAAGCUCGAGGGGUUCACCUUGACCAGGUGCUGGGAUGAAUGCCUAGCAAGCUCCCAGUAUCACGCCCGGAAGAGUGAGAUUGACAAGUUCAACAAGGAGAAUUGUUGGAAAAAGAGAGGAUUGUGCAUAGUUCCUACCAAGUUUGGAGUAAGCUUCACAGUUCAUUUUCUGAAUCAGGCAGGAGCCCUGAUUCAUGUGUACACAGAUGGCUCUGUGCUGCUGACCCAUGGGGGCACUGAGAUGGGCCAAGGCCUUCACACCAAGAUGGUCCAGGUGGCCAGCAGAGCUCUGAAAAUCCCCACCUCUAAGAUUUACAUCAGCGAGACAAGCACUAAUACUGUGCCCAACACCUCUCCCACGGCCGCCUCCGUCAGCACUGACCUCAACGGGCAGGCCGUCUACGAAGCGUGUCAGACCAUCCUGAAAAGGCUGGAACCCUUCAAGAGAAAGAAUCCUAGUGGCUCCUGGGAAGACUGGGUCAUAGCUGCUUACCAGGAUGCAGUGAGCUUGUCUGCUACUGGGUUUUAUAAAGCACCCGAUGUUGGCUACAGCUUUGAGACAAACUCAGGGAAUCCCUUCAACUACUUCUCGUAUGGGGUGGCUUGCUCUGAAGUGGAAAUUGACUGCUUAACAGGGGAUCAUAAGAAUCUCCGCACAGACAUCGUCAUGGAUGUUGGCUCCAGUCUGAACCCCGCCAUCGAUAUUGGACAGUGGCAACAUAGAAGGAACAUCUCCACCUGCCCUGCGGCAAGUUUUAAUGGGAAAUUAUGCCUACCAUUGAGUGACCCUCUUGGAAUCGCUGACAAGUUCAGAAACGCCUUCAGUGUUAACGCCUUUACUCUGCCCAUGCCAAUGCCUGGCGAAGUUCCAGAUAGGUUAUCCUGGGCUGGGGCUGGAGCCAGGUGGAAGGGGCAUUUGUCCAGGGCCUUGGCCUCUUCACCCUGGAGGAGCUGCAGUAUUCCCCCGAGGGAAGCCUGUACACCCGUGGCCCCAGCACCUACAAGAUCCCUACAUUUGACAGCAUCCCCAUUGAGUUCAGAGUGUCCCUGCUCCGUGACUCCCCCAACAAGAAGGCCAUCUAUGCAUCCAAGGCUGUCGGGGAGCCGCCCCUCUUCCUGGCCGCCUCUGUCUUCUUUGCCAUCAAGGACGCCAUCCGUGCAGCUCGAGCUCAGCACAAAGAUUAUGAUAUGAAGGAACUUUUCCGUCUAGACAGCCCUGCCACCCAGGAGAAGAUCCGCAAUGCCUGUGUGGACAAGUUCACCACCCUGUGUGUCACUGGUGUACCAGAAAACUGUAAAGCCUGGUCUUUGAGGGUCUGAAGAGAAAGCUUGCAACAGAGUCUGCUUAUGCUACACUGGGGCUUCCAUGGAGCACGGAGCAUAAUGCUGCAGAACAUGAAUCUAUAAAACUCACAGGAUGGCAGUGCUGUGAUUCAUCAGGAUGGUGCUUGGAAGAACACUGAAUGCAUUGGAAGAUUUUGAUCAAAAAUAUUAUUUGCAAACAAUAGUCAGCCAAAUCAGAACUGUUAGCCCAAGCAGUUAGUAUGCAAUUAGGGUCAUUCCACGUCUGUCUUAAUCAUGUAUUUGAAGUAGGUUUAGGAAGUAUUUGUGCUAUAUCUUAACUCACCAGAAACCCUGUAUAAACUCAAGUGCUGACAGUGUCUGUCCUUCAAAGAGGAUUCCACAAAUCUCCAGAAGCUUAAACCAAAGUUACUCUAAAUCUGUGUGCUUUUCCUCAAAAGCUUUUCCUAUACACCAAUGUACGCCAUAUGACAACCUCAGAUCCAUACUUACUUUGCAGUGGGGCAGUGGAGUGAGAUUCAAACCCCUACUCACCUUUGGGUCAUAGGAAGAGAACAAAGAAUGAAAUAAAUUCAAGGUUAAUUGGAUCCAAUCUUGCUAAGCUGCAUAGAGUAAGAUUAUUCUCUAACACCAAAAGCCAACCAGCCCAAUUAUUGAGUGCCUACAAUGUGCUAGGUUUCUUUCUCUUCGCCCUCGUGCAUUUCAAAAAAAAGGAUCAGCUUUAAAAAUCUUCAUUUGAACCCAGAGUAAUUUCCACUAGGAAUGCUGCUACCAAAAUCAAGAUCAGCCAGAGCAAAAACAGUCAAGGAGUCGCAUUCUCAUCCAACUGUGUCUCUAACUAUCUGUGUGAUCUUGGACUCUCACUGCCCUUUUUCUGUGCUUCAUUUUACUGCAAAAUGAAAGGAUUCAACUGGCAUAUCUUUAAGGUCUUCUCCAGCUCUAAAAGUGUAUCAAUACAUGACCUGAAAAGUCAUCAUAUAAGAGAUCUGUAGCUACAAAGAUGUGGCUCCCCGACUACGAUGAGAUAUCUGGGCCUAAUGAACUCAGCUUAGGUUCCCCCCAAGUCCCUGAGGUUGGUAAAGAGGACAGGAAAAAGGCAAGUACCUCCUCUCAUUGCUCCAAUAGUGAUUUCAUCACUACAUGGUGCUGGGUGGACAAUGUGACAUUGCCAUGUGCCUUCAAUAAAUAAAACAUCCAGCCUUUUGCCAGACAAGGUCCAUGGUUCUGGCCAUGGAAGGAGGAUAGUGGAAACCAUGCAGCUGAGCCUGGUGCUUGAUGUCAUUCAUACAGUAAAUGAUACUGUCAGCUG